UCUCGGGUAGCAUAGUGGUGAGUAUCCCCACCUAUCACAUGGGAGGCCAGGGUUAAAUUCCCCGCCAAGAGAA
Massospora cicadina is the source of this 73-nucleotide non-coding RNA. The record is from the annotation of a GenBank genome assembly. NCBI's taxonomy places the organism in Eukaryota, Fungi, Entomophthoromycota, Entomophthoromycetes, Entomophthorales, Entomophthoraceae.